GAUGAACGCUGACAGAAUGCUUAACACAUGCAAGUCUAUUGGAAGCUUGCUUCCGAUGGCGGACGGGUGAGUAACACGUAAAGAAUCUGCCCUUUAGUCUGGGAUAACAAUUGGAAACAGUUGCUAAUACCAGAUAUUAUAAUCUGAUGGCAUCAUCUUUUUAUGAAAACUAUAUGUGCUAAAGGUGGACUUUGCGGCCCAUUAGCUAGUUGGUGAGGUAACGGCUCACCAAGGCUUCGAUGGGUAGCCGGCCUGAGAGGGUGUACGGCCACAAGGGGACUGAGACACGGCCCUUACUCCUACGGGAGGCAGCAGUGGGGAAUAUUGGACAAUGGGCGAAAGCCUGAUGCAGCAACGCCGCGUGAGCGAAGAAGGCCUUUGGGUCGUAAAGCUCUGUCCUUGGGGAAGAACAAAUGACGGUACCCUUGGAGGAAGCCCCGGCUAACUACGUG
Molecule: ribosomal RNA, 452 nt
Filed under: uncultured bacterium
Lineage: Bacteria
Description: bacterial SSU rRNA
Rfam family: Bacterial small subunit ribosomal RNA
Source: RNAcentral